RNAcentral lists this ribosomal RNA (253 nucleotides) under uncultured bacterium. Its description in RNAcentral is "partial 16S ribosomal RNA". It matches the Rfam family "Bacterial small subunit ribosomal RNA", at positions 524 to 776 of the family's 1533-position model. The record is from RNAcentral.
GACAGAGGGUGCAAACGUUGUUCGGAAUUACUGGGCGUAAAGCGCGUGUAGGCAGUUUCGCAAGUCGGGUGUGAAAGCCCUGGGCUCAACCUAGGAAGUGCACUCGAAACUGCGAGACUUGAGUCCUGGAGAGGAAGGCGGAAUUCUCGGUGUAGAGGUGAAAUUCGUAGAUAUCGAGAGGAACACCGAUGGCGAAGGCAGCCUUCUGGGCCAACACUGACGCUCAUGCACGAAAGCGUGGGGAGCAAACAGG